Long non-coding RNA from Triticum aestivum (bread wheat), 224 nucleotides. RefSeq lists it as uncharacterized. The transcript is spliced from 3 exons. The record is from RefSeq and is a predicted model, not a curated record. Lineage: Eukaryota; Viridiplantae; Streptophyta; Magnoliopsida; Poales; Poaceae.
UAGCCAGAAACUCCUUUCACAUUUGACCACGUUGCUUGUGAGUCAGUGAAUCAGGAAGUGCUUUUCCAAGUUGCUGGUUUACCAAUGGUUGAGAACUGUAUGGCUGGAUACAAUAGCUGUGUAUUUGCUUAUGGGCAGACUGGAAGUGGGAAGACACACACAAUGCUUGGCGAAAUCAGUGAGUUGGGAGUGAAGCCUGGUCCAGAAUGUGGCAUGACACCGCG